UACGGAGGAUCCAAGCGUUAUCCGGAAUCAUUGGGUUUAAAGGGUCCGUAGGCGGCUUUAUAAGUCAGUGGUGAAAUCUCCCGCUCAACGGGGAAACGGCCAUUGAUACUGUAAGGCUUGAAUUAUUAGGAAGUAACGUAGAAUAUGUAGUGUAGCGGUGAAAUGCUUAGAGAUUACAUGGAAUACCAAUUGCGAAGGCAGGUUACUACUAAUGGAUUGACGCUGAUGGACGAAAGCGUGGGUAGCGAACAGG
RNAcentral lists this ribosomal RNA (253 nucleotides) under uncultured bacterium. Its description in RNAcentral is "partial 16S ribosomal RNA". It matches the Rfam family "Bacterial small subunit ribosomal RNA", at positions 524 to 776 of the family's 1533-position model. The record is from RNAcentral.